GGCCCCGCCCACGUCAUGGCGCCCGAGGAGAAUGCGGGGACCGAACUCUUGCUGCAGAGUUUCGAGCGCCGCUUCCUGGCGGCGCGCACGCUGCGCUCCUUCCCCUGGCAGGGGGGCGGCGGGCGAGCGGAGAGGCCCGCGGGGCUCGCGGGAGUCCAGGGGCAGACGGGAUGGGUCUCCGUGCUGAAACCCCCGGCGCUCCUGCCACGUGAGUUCCUGGGCUCUCCCCGGUCAGGGCCGCGAGACCCGGUCCCCGUCCCUGGGGCCUGGCCAGAGUCGCUCGCACCCCUCCUGCCCCGCGAGCUGGCGGCGGAAGAUGAGGGCGUCUCCACCGCCUUGGGGGGGCAGACGCGUGCUCGGUGUGGGGUACAGUUCACGAUCAUUUUCACGACUUUUUAAAGAGCUUAGAAGCAAAGUUAAGAGACUCAUCAGAUUCUGAGCUGCUGCGGGAUAUUUUGCAGAAGACUGUGAAGCAUCCUGUGUGUGUGUGAAGCACCCGCCGUCAGUCAAGAAAGCCCGGUGCUUUCUCUCAGAACUCAUCAAAAAGACGUGCUGUAUUGCCCAGAAGCCAUCGUGUCGCUGGUCGGGAUCCUGCGGAGGCUGGCUGCCUGCUGGGAGCACCAGCAGUCUCCUGAGGUCUACGUGGCCUUUACCGUCCACAACCCAGAGACGUGCCAGCUGUUCACCACCGAGCUAGGCCGGGCUGGGAUCAUAUGGGAAGCGGAAGCUCAUCAUGACCAGAAACUGUUUCCCUAUGGAGAGCACUUGGAGAUGGCAAUGCUGAACCUCACACUGUAGGACUCACACACGACUCCAACGGGAUUGUGAGAAUCAAGUCAAUCUCAUGGGAAGAAUUUUUAUAUGGGAAAGCGGAUAAAACUUUCAUUGUACUGGAAUGUUUGGAGAAUGUUAAAUUCCAAAUCAGAAACCACAAACUGCCCUCUAAUAAGACAUCGGCUAUCUAAGCGUGUGGGUGCCCCCUUUCUGCCAGCAGUUCUGGUUCUUACGAAAAUCACCAUAUAUCAGACAUGAAAAUUCUGGCUUUGUGCAGAUAAAAAAGUGUGUAUCAAGUAUGACGUUCCCCCAAUGUGGACACACUUGGUUCCUCAGAAAGCCAAGCCCACUGCAGCUGCCACAUCCCUGGACACACUCGGUUCCUCACAAAGCCAAGCCCGCUGCAGCUGUCACAUCCCUGGACACACUCGGUUCCUCACAAAGCCAAGCCCACUGCAGCUGCCACAUCCCUGAGCCUAUGGUGCAGCAGGUGCUUUUUUCAAGACAGGGAUCAAAGUGUUAGGAACACGGCAGAAAGGUGACACCUGGAGACCAAAUGCAGGAUGAGGAGUACUGCAGAGGUCACAGGGAAGUCAGAGAACAGUAAUACGCUAACAGGGGCACGGGGCAUGAAGAACAAAAGACAGGAAGCGUUUCAGAGACUCCAAAGAAGAAAUCAGGGCCAACCACAGCUUCCCGGGUCAUUCACCAGGUGGCACCACUGCCGUCAUUUCAGCUUCUGGCCACUGGGAGGCGCUGCUCGAAAGGGUUUGCCCUGACACUCCAAGAAGCUGCGGGAAGGACAGCAGGGGCCCUGGGGUUUUAGCCUCUGGCCCAGGAGUUAUGUGUCCAUAACCAAAGGGAGCACAGUCUGCACCCAGCUCUCAUCCCAUCAGAGCUGCUGCGACUCCUGCAGGUUCUUCCGGAACUGGUUUAGCUUGCCUGCAGGAUCAGGAAAGUUUGAGAAAAGCAUCUGCAAAAUACUAAAGAGCAGAGCUUACCUCAUUGCCUGUCCCCACCCCAUCCCAGGUCACCACCUGGCUGACCCCAGGUCCCCGACCCAACAACAACCCCUCCCAAGUCCCUAACUCCCUCACUUGGACUUGAGACCCUUCACACCCCAGCAGCGCUCCGCCUCCCACUUGACAUCAUGCUUUCUGGAAACUUCCCCGUAUGUCCCACUUUCCCACACUUGGUGCCCUGGAGCACCUUCCGGCCUCUACAUGCUGUACGUUCCCCUGUGAGCACCCUCCUCUCGGCCUCUGGCCAACACAGUCCCACCCAUCUGUGGGUAACAAGGGGGAGUGGGUGUUCUUUUCAGCCUUGCUAAACUCUCUGAAUCAAGGAUCACAAACUACAGCCUGCAGGCCAAAUCCAGCCCACAGCCUGUGUUUGUAAAUAAAGCUUUAUUGGAAGAAAGCCACACCCCUUAA
Molecule: long non-coding RNA, 2207 nt
Organism: Homo sapiens (human)
Lineage: Eukaryota; Metazoa; Chordata; Mammalia; Primates; Hominidae
Gene: FAM86DP
Product: family with sequence similarity 86 member D, pseudogene
Source: Ensembl